CCUACGGGAGGCUGCAGUGAGGAAUAUUGGUCAAUGGACGAGAGUCUGAACCAGCCAAGUAGCGUGAAGGAUGACUGCCCUAUGGGUUGUAAACUUCUUUUAUAUGGGAAUAAAACGUUCCACGUGUGGGAUUUUGUAUGUACCAUAUGAAUAAGGAUCGGCUAACUCCGUGCCAGCAGCCGCGGUAAUACGGAGGAUCCGAGCGUUAUCCGGAUUUAUUGGGUUUAAAGGAAGCGUAGGUGGAUUGUUAAGUCAGUUGUGAAAGUUUGCGGCUCAACCGUAAAAUUGCAGUUGAAACUGGCAGUCUUGAGUACAGUAGAGGUGGGCGGAAUUCGUGGUGUAGCGGUGAAAUGCUUAGAUAUCACGAAGAACUCCGAUUGCGAAGGCAGUUCACUGGACUGCAACUGACACUGAGGCUCGAAAGUGUGGGUAUCAAACAGGAUUAGAUACCCCAGUAGUC
Molecule: ribosomal RNA, 460 nt
Filed under: uncultured bacterium
Lineage: Bacteria
Description: partial 16S ribosomal RNA
Rfam family: Bacterial small subunit ribosomal RNA
Source: RNAcentral